CUUGGAAGUUCUCUAUCGGCUAACCCUGCUGGAAUAAACAUUCCUUCAUUCUCCUCUAAAUUACUGAGAUGGGCCAGGCGUGGUUCCUGCCACCAUCUCCCCUUCUUCUUGUCCCUUGGAGCAGGUCCUGGGGCAGGUGCCUGUGAGGGAUCAGACGCUUCCCUCGCAGGGACAGGAUCGGGCUGUUCUAUACCAAUGCACCAGGCAAAGCCCUGCUAACUGGAAGGGGUGAACUGCAGCACCAAAAGCCAGCUGAGCGUAGGAAUACCCAGAACGCUGCCCUGCCCCAAAGAGCACCACAGCCCUGGGAGCUCCCAGCAGACGUCUGGGCUGGAAAAUGGACACCAGGACCGAGAAGCGGCCUGACGUUCCAGUCAGAGGCCGAAUCUGUCUUGAGAGGGAGGGAGAGAGAAACAGCUCGGGGCCUGCAGGAGACAGGCCUGAUGCGAUAGGCCUCCCUGAAUGCAAGCGUGACAGUGACAGCCGCUAGAGAGAGAUGGCCUUUGCCAACAGGUGGCCGAGCCUCCAUCACUUCUCCUGGGCACCGUGCGCCGCGUGCCAGCUCCUGCUCUGGCCACUCCUCGGAUGAGGACCGGGGGGAUCGGUGAGCUGAGGGCAGCAGGACCAGCUGCUCCCGUGGGUGAUACAGCACGGAGGAGCGGGCAGAGCUCUUGCUCUGUCAGCCAGGCCUCAGGAAGGCAGGAGCAAUAUCUCUUCUGCCCCCGGUGCCAGCUCUCCUCCCCGACACCCGGCUCCGUGGCAUGGCAGGGGGCAUCCGCUCCCCCUCGGGGGCUGGAAGCUCGCCCCUGGCAUCCCGGCGUGCUUGCCCUUGGAGCUGCAGCUUCUCCUGCUCAUUAACUCAUAAAUAAUAGGGACCAGCAGCAUUCAGCGCUAAUUAAUUUUGUGAACUGAACCAGGGUGAAUGGGGUAAUUGCCCAUGGCGUGUGCGGGCCGACAGGUGAGCCCUCCUGCUUUCACCCUCCUUGUUUACCAGCUUCUCCGUGUUUAUUUUAAGAAGCAUUUGGUCCCUCUCCGUGUGAAGAAGGAGAGCCAUGUGAUCCAGCCCAGAGAGAGCGCAGCAGGCGCUGAAUAUUAAAUUAAAACACAUCCUCGCUCAUACACCAAAAAAAAAAAAAAGAAAAAAAAAACAAGCUGGAAAGGUUAAGAGCUAACAGAGAUCCUCAGAACAGUCUCUGUCUGUUUGGAAUGAAUUAAUCAGACCAUUAAACAAAUCUUUUAAUCUAAA
Anas platyrhynchos (mallard) is the source of this 1246-nucleotide non-coding RNA. The record is from RefSeq and is a predicted model, not a curated record. Lineage: Eukaryota; Metazoa; Chordata; Aves; Anseriformes; Anatidae.